GCUUAGAGAGGGGUCAAUGUCCUAUCAGCUAGUUGGUAGGGUAAUGGCCUACCAAGGCUAAGACGGGUAGCCGGCCUGAGAGGGUGGUCGGCCACACUGGGACUGAGACACUGCCCAGACUCCUACGGGAGGCUGCAGUCGAGAAUCUUUCGCAAUGCCCGAAAGGGUGACGAAGCGACGCCGCGUGUGGGAAGAAGGCCUUCGGGUUGUAAACCACUGUCGGGAGUUAAGAAAUGUAAGGGUAUUAAUAGUAUCCUUGCUUGGCUAAGGCUCCGGAGGAAGCCACGGCUAACUCUGUGCCAGCAGCCGCGGUAAUACAGAGGCGGCAAGCGUUGUUCGGAAUUAUUGGGCGUAAAGAGCACGUAGGCGGCUUUGUAAGUCAGUUGUGAAAGCCUUCCGCUUAACGGAAGAACAGCAUCUGAUACUGCAAGGCUAGAGUGCGGAAGGG
This 448-nucleotide ribosomal RNA is filed under the name uncultured Planctomycetota bacterium. Its description in RNAcentral is "bacterial SSU rRNA". It matches the Rfam family "Bacterial small subunit ribosomal RNA", at positions 217 to 656 of the family's 1533-position model. The record is from RNAcentral. Lineage: Bacteria; Pseudomonadati; Planctomycetota.